UAGGGANUCUUCCACAAUGGGNGUAAGCCUGAUGGAGCAACACCGCGUGAGUGAAGAAGGGUUUCGGCUCGUAAAGCUCUGUUGUUAAAGAAGAACACGUAUGAGAGUAACUGUUCAUACGUUGACGGUAUUUAACCAGAAAGUCACGGCUAACUACGUGCCAGCAGCCGCGGUAAUACGUAGGUGGCAAGCGUUAUCCGGAUUUAUUGGGCGUAAAGAGAGUGCAGGCGGUUUUCUAAGUCUGAUGUGAAAGCCUUCGGCUUAACCGGAGAAGUGCAUCGGAAACUGGAUAACUUGAGUGCAGAAGAGGGUAGUGGAACUCCAUGUGUAGCGGUGGAAUGCGUAGAUAUAUGGAAGAACACCAGUGGCGAAGGCGGCUACCUGGUCUGCAACUGACGCUGAGACUCGAAAGCAUGGGUAGCGAACAGGAUUAGAUACCCUGGUAGUCCAUGCCGUAAACGAUGAGUGCUAGGUGUUGGAGGGUUUCCGCCCUUCAGUGCCGGAGCUAACGCAUUAAGCACUCCGCCUGGGGAGUACGACCGCAAGGUUG
This 550-nucleotide ribosomal RNA is filed under the name uncultured bacterium. Its description in RNAcentral is "bacterial SSU rRNA". It matches the Rfam family "Bacterial small subunit ribosomal RNA", at positions 355 to 896 of the family's 1533-position model. The record is from RNAcentral.